Molecule: ribosomal RNA, 491 nt
Filed under: uncultured bacterium
Lineage: Bacteria
Description: bacterial SSU rRNA
Rfam family: Bacterial small subunit ribosomal RNA
Source: RNAcentral
GAUGAACGCUGGCGGCGUGCCUAACACAUGCAAGUCGAGCGAGACUUAAGUGGAUGAUUCUUCGGAUGAUGAAGCUUAAUGACAGCGGCGGACGGGUGAGUAACGCGUGGGUAACCUGCCCUAUGGAGGGGGAUAACGCAAAGAAAUUUGCGCUAAUACCGCAUAAGCACACAGGAUCACAUGAUCUAGGGUGAAAAACUCCGGUGCCAUAGGAUGGACCCGCGUAAGAUUAGCUAGUUGGUGAGGUAAUGGCUCACCAAGGCAACGAUCUUUAGCCGACCUGAGAGGGUGAUCGGCCACAUUGGGACUGAGACACGGCCCAAACUCCUACGGGAGGCAGCAGUGGGGGAUAUUGCACAAUGGGCGAAAGCCUGAUGCAGCAACGCCGCGUGAAGGAAGACGGUUUUCGGAUUGUAAACUUCUAUCAGCAGGGAAGAAAAAGACUGUACCUGACUAAGAAGCCCCGGCUAACUACGUGCCAGCAGCCGCGG